AUGAACGCUAGCGACAGGCCUAACACAUGCAAGUCAGGGGCAGCACAAGGAGCAAUCUGAGGUGGCGACCGGCGCACGGGUGAGUAACACGUAUGCAACCUGCCUGUAAGAGGGGAAUAACCCGUUGAAAGACGGACUAAUACCGCAUAAUACUAAAUUACUGCAUGGUAAUUUAUUUAAACAUUUAUGGCUUACAGAUGGGCAUGCGCAUGAUUAGCUAGUUGGAGAGGUAACGGCUCCCCAAGGCAACGAUCAUUAGGGGUUCUGAGAGGAAGGUCCCCCACACUGGUACUGAGACACGGACCAGACUCCUACGGGAGGCAGCAGUGAGGAAUAUUGGUCAAUGGACGAGAGUCUGAACCAGCCAAGUCGCGUGCAGGAAGAAUGUCCUAUGGAUUGUAAACUGCUUUUGCAGGGGAAUAAAGUGCAUCACGUGUGAUGUUUUGUAUGUACUCUGCGAAUAAGGAUCGGCUAACUCCGUGCCAGCAGCAGC
RNAcentral lists this ribosomal RNA (493 nucleotides) under uncultured bacterium. RNAcentral's name for it is "bacterial SSU rRNA". It matches the Rfam family "Bacterial small subunit ribosomal RNA", at positions 29 to 518 of the family's 1533-position model. The record is from RNAcentral.